This 301-nucleotide ribosomal RNA is filed under the name uncultured bacterium. RNAcentral describes it as "partial 16S ribosomal RNA". It matches the Rfam family "Bacterial small subunit ribosomal RNA", at positions 509 to 807 of the family's 1533-position model. The record is from RNAcentral.
CAGCCGCCGCGGGAAUACGAAGGGUGCAAGCGUUAGUCGGAAUUACUGGGCGUAAAGCGUGCGUAGGCGGUUUGUUAAGUCUGUUGUGAAAUCCCCGGGCUCAACCUGGGAAUGGCAAUGGAUACUGGCAAGCUAGAGUGUGUCAGAGGAUGGUGGAAUUCCCGGUGUAGCGGUGAAAUGCGUAGAGAUCGGGAGGAACAUCAGUGGCGAAGGCGGCCAUCUGGGACAACACUGACGCUGAGGCACGAAAGCGUGGGGAGCAAACAGGAUUAGAUACCCCUGUAGUCCCUGUCUCUUAUAC